This 73-nucleotide transfer RNA is filed under the name Felis catus (domestic cat). It matches the Rfam family "tRNA". From Rfam's summary of the family: Transfer RNA (tRNA) molecules are approximately 80 nucleotides in length. Their secondary structure includes four short double-helical elements and three loops (D, anti-codon, and T loops). Further hydrogen bonds mediate the characteristic L-shaped molecular structure. tRNAs have two regions of fundamental functional importance: the anti-codon, which is responsible for specific mRNA codon recognition, and the 3' end, to which the tRNAs corresponding amino acid is attached (by aminoacyl-tRNA synthetases). tRNAs cope with the degeneracy of the genetic code in two manners: having more than one tRNA (with a specific anti-codon) for a particular amino acid; and 'wobble' base-pairing, i.e. permitting non-standard base-pairing at the 3rd anti-codon position. The record is from Rfam by way of RNAcentral. RNAcentral also lists the same sequence under 3 other names. Lineage: Eukaryota; Metazoa; Chordata; Mammalia; Carnivora; Felidae.
GCCUGGCUGGCUCAGUCAGCAGAACAUGUGACUCUUAAUCUCGGGGGUGUGAGUUCAAGCCCCAUGUUGGGCA